CAGAACACCAAGCUCAUGACCCGCCUUACCUACACCCUUGACGAGAUUGAGGGACCUUUUGAAGUGUCCCCCGAUGGCACCAUUAAGUUUGUGGAGAAGGAUGGAAUUGACUAUGCUGCUGUGACAGUUCAGCUGCCUGGAGGCGAGCGUGUGCCCUUCCUUUUCACCAUCAAACAAUUGGUAGCAUCAGGCAAGCCUGAGAAUUUCGGAGGAGAGUUCCUUGUACCAUCAUACCGUGGAUCAUCCUUCUUGGACCCAAAGGGAAGGGGUGGUUCAACUGGUUAUGACAAUGCUAUUGCAUUGCCUGCUGGCGGAAGAGGGGAUGAGGAAGAUCUCGCCAAGGAGAAUAUCAAGAAUACUUCAUCUUCAACAGGGAAGAUCACCCUCAGCGUUACCAAGAGCAAGCCUGAGACUGGAGAGGUUAUUGGAGUGUUUGAGAGCCUUCAGCCAUCUGAUACUGAUAUGGGAGCCAAGGUUCCAAAGGAUGUUAAGAUCCAGGGUAUCUGGUAUGCACAGCUUGAGCAAUAGAGCUUUUCUUGUAUGAGUGUACUUAUUCCUAUUCAGAUUUUGAAACAUGUUGAAGGUGUUGCUAAACAUUUCUGUAAUUCAAUUUAGUAGCACUGAGAAUGUUGUCAUGUCUGUAUAUUAUCGUGGCAUGCUAUAAUAAUGCUUGCAAUUCUGAACGGUGAUGGGUUUGAGUGAUUUGAGGCCUGAACACACCUCUCACCAGUGAUAUCGAAAGCCUGGAGACAUUUCCACAUGUAGCCUAUAGCCGCCCAUCCCAUUAUGGGAUUCUCCUGAUCGGGAAUAGCCUGAUGCAGUGAUUGGAAUUGACAUUGUUAAUGUUCAUCCUGUUAUUACCUCAAAACUUAUUAGCCCAUGGAAGGUCAGAAAUGAGGCCAUAGAAGGUCAUAAAUGAUCAUCUUUCCAGGUCGCUAGCACUAUUUAUUAAACUCCUGGCCGUGGAGAAUGAAUAUGCCAACUCUUGCCAAAAUGUAUUCCGGCUUCAGAUAUCAGGGAAACUUUAUUGCUCUAACUUAAUUAGAGGCUAC
This 1052-nucleotide long non-coding RNA is filed under the name Citrus sinensis (sweet orange). RNAcentral describes it as "long non-coding RNA (CSIN_LNC000430)". The record is from RNAcentral. Lineage: Eukaryota; Viridiplantae; Streptophyta; Magnoliopsida; Sapindales; Rutaceae.